This 484-nucleotide ribosomal RNA is filed under the name uncultured bacterium. RNAcentral describes it as "partial 16S ribosomal RNA". It matches the Rfam family "Bacterial small subunit ribosomal RNA", at positions 28 to 523 of the family's 1533-position model. The record is from RNAcentral.
GAUGAACGCUGGCGGCGUGCUUAACACAUGCAAGUCGAACGGAAACAGGAUGAAGCCUAGCGAUUCCUGUUUUAGUGGCGGACGGGUGAGUAACGCGUGGGUAACCUGCCUUACACUGGGGGAUAACAGUUAGAAAUAGCUGCUAAUACCGCAUAAGCGCACAGGGCCGCAUGGCCUGGUGUGAAAAACUCCGGUGGUGUAAGAUGGACCCGCGUCUGAUUAGCUAGUUGGUGAGGUAACGGCCCACCAAGGCGACGAUCAGUAGCCGGCCUGAGAGGGUGAACGGCCACAUUGGGACUGAGACACGGCCCAAACUCCUACGGGAGGCAGCAGUGGGGAAUAUUGCACAAUGGGGGAAACCCUGAUGCAGCGACGCCGCGUGAGUGAAGAAGUAUUUCGGUAUGUAAAGCUCUAUCAGCAAGGAAGAAAAUGACGGUACUUGACUAAGAAGCCCCGGCUAACUACGUGCCAGCAGCCGCCGUAA